This is a non-coding RNA of Anolis sagrei ordinatus, 399 nucleotides long. NCBI's taxonomy places the organism in Eukaryota, Metazoa, Chordata, Lepidosauria, Squamata, Anolidae. The record is from RefSeq and is a predicted model, not a curated record.
UUGAGAGGAAAUUGAGGCUAAUAAAAGCUUCCUUCCUCUGAAAACAACUCACUUCCCCGCUCUCCAAAACCCAGCGCUCUGCAGCCCCUGGAACCAGCAUUGCUGUUACCUGGAUUAAAACACACCAAAUUGGAGGCCUGUGCUCGGAUGGUUGCCUUGACCAGAGUUGUUGUUCUGUGCCUUCAAAUUAUUUCCGACUGAGCCAACAGCGUGAUGUGGCAGCUCAAAAAGCCAAUGCGAUUCUAAAGCAAAGGUUUCUCCUGACAUGAAGUCCAGUCGUGUCCACAUGAACGUGGGCACAGCAGCAGCUGCAACUCAGAAGCUUUCUCAUUUCUUUGCUUUUCCCCCUUCCUAACAUUGUAACUAAUCCUCCCAAUAAAAAGUAUCAAUUAAUUGUAA